This 253-nucleotide ribosomal RNA is filed under the name uncultured bacterium. Its description in RNAcentral is "partial 16S ribosomal RNA". It matches the Rfam family "Bacterial small subunit ribosomal RNA", at positions 524 to 776 of the family's 1533-position model. The record is from RNAcentral.
UACAGGGGGUGCGAGCGUUAAUCGGAAUUACUGGGCGUAAAGCGCGCGUAGGCGGCUUUGCAAGUCGGGUGUGAAAUCCCCAGGCUUAACCUGGGAACUGCAUUCGAGACUGCAUUGCUAGAGUAUGGGAGAGGGAAGUGGAAUUUCCGGUGUAGCGGUGAAAUGCGUAGAUAUCGGAAGGAACAUCAGUGGCGAAAGCGACUUCCUGGACCAAUACUGACGCUCAUGUGCGAAAGCGUGGGGAGCAAACAGG